RNAcentral lists this ribosomal RNA (253 nucleotides) under uncultured bacterium. RNAcentral's name for it is "partial 16S ribosomal RNA". It matches the Rfam family "Bacterial small subunit ribosomal RNA", at positions 524 to 776 of the family's 1533-position model. The record is from RNAcentral.
UACGUAGGGCGCAAGCGUUGUCCGGAAUCAUUGGGCGUAAAGAGCUCGUAGGCGGCCUGUUGCGUCCGCUGUGAAAUCCCGGGGCUUAACCCCGGGCGUGCAGUGGAUACGGGCUGGCUGGAGGCAGGCAGGGGAGAACGGAAUUCCCGGUGUAGCGGUGAAAUGCGCAGAUAUCGGGAGGAACCCCGGUGGCGAAGGCGGUUCUCUGGGCAUGUAAUGACGCUGAGGAGCGAAAGCGUGGGGAGCGAACAGG